This 74-nucleotide transfer RNA is filed under the name Sirembo imberbis (golden cusk). RNAcentral's name for it is "tRNA-Leu". It matches the Rfam family "tRNA". From Rfam's summary of the family: Transfer RNA (tRNA) molecules are approximately 80 nucleotides in length. Their secondary structure includes four short double-helical elements and three loops (D, anti-codon, and T loops). Lineage: Eukaryota; Metazoa; Chordata; Actinopteri; Ophidiiformes; Ophidiidae. The record is from RNAcentral. RNAcentral also lists the same sequence under 2 other names.
GUUAAGGUGGCAGACCUCGGCCAUUGCAAAAGACCUAAGCCCUUUCUACGGAGGUUCAAAUCCUCCCCUUAACU